Camelina sativa (false flax) is the source of this 170-nucleotide non-coding RNA. The record is from RefSeq and is a predicted model, not a curated record. Lineage: Eukaryota; Viridiplantae; Streptophyta; Magnoliopsida; Brassicales; Brassicaceae.
GCAAAAGGAGCAGCUGAGACACUUAAAUUCAACAUGGCUCUAAUACUUUUCCCGGUUUGCAGAAACACCAUUACUUGGCUCAGAUCCACGAGACUCUCUUGCUUCGUUCCUUUUGAUGAUAACAUCAACUUCCACAAGAAGUCAAAAAACCAAUACUAAAUGAAUGGGAU